ACCUUUGCACAGUGACAGUAGCAUAGCCAAUGAGGUUUAUCCAUGGCAUGAUUAUUGCUAAUAGAAAAUUUUCUCAAGAGUAGUUAUUUAUAAUGCUUGUGUGUUGGAGACCACUACACUAAGCGGCUCUGAGCU
Molecule: small nuclear RNA, 135 nt
Organism: Cavia porcellus (domestic guinea pig)
Lineage: Eukaryota; Metazoa; Chordata; Mammalia; Rodentia; Caviidae
Gene: U4
Rfam family: U4 spliceosomal RNA
About the family: U4 small nuclear RNA (U4 snRNA) is a component of the major U2-dependent spliceosome. The structure of U4 snRNA from yeast and human has been reported.
Source: Ensembl